Xiphophorus hellerii (green swordtail) is the source of this 2300-nucleotide long non-coding RNA. RefSeq lists it as uncharacterized. Lineage: Eukaryota; Metazoa; Chordata; Actinopteri; Cyprinodontiformes; Poeciliidae. The record is from RefSeq and is a predicted model, not a curated record. The transcript is spliced from 4 exons.
GUUUGUCUCGGAGCGGGAGAAGACGCCUAUCUAAACGUCGGUAAUAAAUUUACCUACAUAAAUCAUAAGAAAGCAUAUGACGACACGUGAAUUCAGCAGCGCUUCGCUUUCAGAGACGGUGGGGAGUACGUCCAACUUUUAGCGUCACUUUGAGGAAGCUCAAACAAAGGAAUAAACCGGAGUACCUGGAGAGAACCCAUGCAUGCAUGACAAGAAGAUGCAAGCUGUAUGCAGAAGGACCCCAUCGCUAGGAGCUGAGUGGGUGAGGAGCUAGCCAGCGAUGCUUUGUGAGACAGAGGUUUGGUUGGGGCCUUCAGAUCAGAGGAGGAGCUAUGUGGAAAUAGCUGCAGCAGAAGAUUUAAGUAUUCCUCCACCAUGAAAGGAUCAAAGCAACACUGCAGACUCAUCACGUCUGACAUUUUGAACAGACAGGAUAAACAGGGCAUCAUUUUCUUUAUUUUUGUCAUUGUGGAAGUGCUACUUUAAGGUAAAAAUCUUUAUCUAUGUUGUUUGGGGUAUGCCAACCCAUGAGAAUGUUAUUCCAAAGGACAUGCAAUAACAGUUUUUCUGACAAAAAUGGUGAUGUAAUAACUGAUCAAUCAAAAAAUUAGGAACUAAAGAAGAUUUAUUAACAGCAGCCUCAUCUGUGACUUGGGACUGCACAACCUAUUCCUGUUGCUAUCCAUGCUGUUAAAGUGUGCUCAGUUAAAGGUGCUACUGCACAGCCUCAGUUUCAAAGUACAACGUAUUUCAUGCUUACUCACUCGCAGCUGGCUGCCUGACCAGCAGCUGGCAAAAGCGCGUCCAGGAGUAGCUAAUAAAAAUAAAAGUCUACUGGUGAUAGGUUUAUUCAGGUAAGAUAAAGAAGUUCAGGCAAAAACCUUUUUUUCUUUUAUAUGCUUUAUGCAUGAGGAAGAAGCUAUUAUUGACUAAUUCUCCAUGAAUUUCUCCCUGUGGAAUAAUAAAGUUUUUUUUUUUCAUUUGAUUAAUCCUUCAGAGUUCAGCAAUCCUUGUAAUUGGAAGAUAAUUGACAAUAUCGGCAUAGAUUUGUGAGGCUGAUGCUCAUUACUGCGUCCGUGCUGCUGUUGCUGCCAAACCAUUCCAAACACCCACAGAACACAUCAAAAGAGCGAAGGUACUUAGUGGUAGUCCCACGUUAUAAAGCACCUUGAAUUGCCUUGUCGCUGAAAUGUGCUACACAAAUGAACUUGCCUUGAAUUUUGAUGCAAGAAACUGCACCAUUGAAAUGCUGUCAGGAUUUCACCACAAUGUGAGAAAUGCUCAUUUAUGCUUCUUGUUUCUGAAAAGCUGGACAUCUAGGGGAGUUGAAGGCAGGGAGAAGGCUUCAUGUCUAAUAGCUCUUUAUACAUGAAGUGGCUUUCCACACUUAACAUAGCAAGCUAUCGUUGUGUGUUAAAUUCUUACCGCCAGCUCAGAAUGUGAAAAACAAAACAUAAAAUGUGUAAAUGUAGCUGAGCUAACUCAUGAUCAGAGACAAUAGUGCAUGGCAUUAUUAACUGUAACAGGAAGUAGUGACGUUGGUGCUCCACUUGGAGCCACCUAAUGCACGCCGUCACAGAGGGAGACCAACAACAAUGCUAUCCUACCAUAGUAUAUUUCCAUUUCUGUAGUGAUUGGCAGUAAUUGUACAAAAAGAGCAACAAUAUUGUUCUUAUUUACAUAUUCUUGGCCUCAGAAAAGCAAGAACAUUGUGUUGAUGACUCAUACGUGAGAUUGUGUUCCAAAUGGCCAUUCCUGUAUCAUAAAAUUUCUGUGUCACAUUCAGCAUCUUGUAUUAAUGAUCAGCUGUUCUCUCCAUCAGUGGUCUGUGAUGUUUUUGAAGGAGGCUAAUCCCCAGGCAGGAUUAAUGUCCAAUGGCAGACCCAUGGGCUCAUAAAGUGAGUUGUCGCUCCUCACAAUGAAAACACCUAUUCCUCCAAGCCCUAUUCAUUUAUUUUUUCCACUUUUCUCACACACCAGAUAUACUAAAUGAAAUAUAUUUAAGAAGAAAAUAGUGUAAAAUGUGUUUUCCUUCUUUAUGAUCCUCUGUAGCAAAAAAUAAGUGUGAUUUUUCAGCCACUUGUUAUGUAUUAAAUACAUCUGAUGAGCUAAAUUUGAUCAUGCUGAAUUAUUAAAUGUAAGGGCGAGCAUAAUGAAUUGCAUCUCCAUUUCCUUAAUGAUCAUUUCCCAUGGGACAUUGACUUAAGCAUUUAACCAUUUGAAACAACCUCAGUUCAUUUUUCCUCUAAUACUUCAAUGUUUUUAUGGCCCUGAAAGCAUUGGGGUUCCCACACAAAUUG